UCAUUCACCGAAGGCCCAAAGAGAGGCCAGCCACAUCUGUCCAGAUAUUUCUUGCAGGUUUUCUUCUGACAGUUCUGCUCUCGGGUAAGAAAAGCACCAAAUGGAAGAGGUAGGUCGAGGGAGGACAGCUGGCCAUGAAGAAGAGAGACCUCGAAGGUUCAUCUUGGAAGAAGCUGGAAGCCAAAGCCAGCAUGCCAUGCUCUGGGCGAUGUGGAUCCCAGCAGGAUGGCCUGCAGACACAGGCCCAUCCCACCAGGCCCAGAAUUUCUUGGUACCCCUUAUAGUCUUCAUCUUGGCAAGUACCUCACUUGCUUUCACCCUCGUCCCAGUCCUGAGUCAUGUAAGUAGUUCAUACGUUCUGUGUCUAACUGUUAGGAUCCUAAGGUUGUUUCCAUUUUUUUCCAGUUUAUUUGUCUCUGGAUUUCCAGCACCGUGCCCAACACCUGGUAUGUACUUGAUCAAUAUUUAUCAAAUAAGUGCAGGAACGAACGAAUGAAUGAAUCGGUGAGAUAAAGAAACACUACGAUGAUCGUUCUUGUGGGCAGUGGGUGUCAGAAGAGAAGGGCAAGAGGCGGGAGCCACAUUGUACAGGAAAGCAACUACCCCCUUCUGCCACACAGAGCUCAGGAAAGGGGGCAGCCCAGGCAGGCGGGCAGGGGCAGCUUUCUGGUGGCCUGGGUGUCCUCUCAGUGCACGCACCACACAGGCCCCCCAGAAGAUCCCUUUGGAGGUUCCACCACUUCCUAACGGAGCCAUCAUUACUCUAGCCUGGCCCUGGCCCUGGCCCAGGCAGCUGAAACCAAAACAUUGCCACGUCCCCACGGUGGGACUAGGACAGCUCAUGCAGGGGCGCACACACCCAGCCCCGAGAGCCUCCCUCACACAGGCUGACUCAGGAGCUACUAGGACACUGGGCUGCAGGCUCAUGGGCCGGGGCUUCAGGCCUGGGCCCCAGUGUACAGCUGCCUCUCUCCACGGCAACAGCAACAGGGAUUUUCCCAGCCCAGCCAAUGUGUGGAAUUUUAACAUAACAAAGCCGGAAUCCAAGAGAGGAAAUUCUAAGAACAUGAAAUAAGUCAGAGGAGCAGAGGGUGGGUGUUUAUUUUCCAUCCACUGCCUGGUCUCCUCCCUCCCCCUCCAACCUCCACCCCAAAGGGGAGGGUGGGGGGAAGGGGUCCGGAUUCAGUUGUCAGCACCACAAAUCUAAAGGAAACCCAUCUUCCUGUGUUUGCCAAGGAACAAUGCUGGAGAAGACAUCCAAGGCCUGCACUUUUCCUCUGCACAGAAUAAUUUAGGUCCAGUGCAUUCCUGGGAGGGGGGCCGGACAAGGAAUGUCUGGAUGUAAACAUUCCUGUCCCUUCACUCAGGAUCAUUUGGGACACACAGGUGGGGACAUGUGGGACACCUGGUGGCUUUCUGUGAUCAGAUCCAUACUCCCCACACCAGGCCCACUCCUGUGCCUCCUGCAGAAUGGGCUUCCUAAUCAACCAAGAUCAUGGAAUCGACUGAGGUGGGCACCGUGAUCCCUGCUGUGAUGCAGCUGGCCACCUGGCAGUGACACCUGGGAAGCCAAUAACGAAACAAGGCAUGCCUGGAACUUGCAUUGCUCACCAUCAGGAAGGGCUGUGAAUGCUGCCAGGAAAGGUGGGAAAGCAGAAGCCAGACUCUCAUUGGCCAUGUACCCUACGUAUGUACGUUCUUGGCUGCAGGAAGAGAUUCUGAGUCAGGAGGUUGCAAAUGGGGCCCAGGAAUCUGCAUGUUUAAAGUUAUUCUACGGACUCCGGAUACCCUUGGUCUUUGGAAGGCACUUUGGCAAGAAGUGACACAAAGGAGGACCUUACGUCUGUUCUCAGUAAGUCCACUUAAAUGACCUCUGCCUCUGUCAAGCUUUGGACAAAUCCCAUGAGAUUUUUAAAUCUUUUGCACCUAAAAGGAAACACAGGGAAGGGGACUGAGGGCGGCCCUGCCUGUGCAGGAUGGGAAAAUGUGCAGUAAACCAGGGUGGACCCCCAGGAGUCCACAAAGUAGACACACUUCAGUGAGCAGGGUAGAAGGCUACACAACAGAAGGCUGCCUCCUCCUCCUCCUCCUCCUCCUCCUCCUCCUCCUCCUCCUCUCCUCCUCCUCCUCUUCCUCCUCUUUGACAGGAAUCAGACACUCAUGAAGCAGACCAAAACCAAACAAAAUCACCCAAUUUCAAAAUUUGGUUCAGGUUUGAAAAUCUGAACCAAAUCCCAAAGGAUCCAAGUGCCAAUGUCUGGCACUAACACAGCAUCAGCUACAAUCUUCACAAACCCAACGCGUAGGCCCUUGGCCCACAGCCAACGCGAGAAAUGUCAGGACAGGGACGCUGGACUGUUGUCGGCCACACCCCCCAGCGAUUUCCAAGUUCUUUCGAUCGACACCUCAGCCUGCAAACAGGUCUUUGCCGGCACCCCUGACAUACCACGGAGUCGAACUGUCUCACUCACUACUACUGCUGAUGUCAAGGCACGGCUAUUUUUUAAAAAAAUAUUUUAUUGAUUUUUUACAGAGAGGAAGGGAGAGGGAUAGUGAGUUAGAAACAUCGAUCAGCUGCCCCUUGCACGCCCCCCACUAGGGAUGUGCCCACAGCCAAGGUACAUGCCCUUGACCGGAAUCGAACCUGGGACCCUUGAGUCCGCAGGCCUACGCUCUAUCCACUGAGCCAAACCAGUCGGGACAAGGCACAGCUAUUUUUGAUAUUAUAGUAUAAGGCCCAUCCUCAAUGAUAAUAGAUAUAAUUUUAAAUAGUUCUGACAGGUCUGAGUUUGGGAGUCUGAUGUCAGAUCUGUUUUUAUGUCAGAAUGCAGCUAAGUGUUCACACAGGAGUGGAAGCAACAGCCCAGCCAUUUAUUUUCUCUGGUUCAAAAGUGCAGGAACUCUAGGUGUUACCUUCAAACUUUGGUUUCUUCUAAGGAACCCUUAAAAGCUACCUGUCCAUGCUGUGCGGAUUACUUUGGCUAAACUAUGUAAUAGACUGUGUAAGUCCAGUCCACAAGGGCACGUCACUGCUGAGUGGGCAAGGCUCCCCAUUCCCCUCUUAGGACGCCACGCACGCUUGCUGACACAGGGCUGUCGGGCAUACAACCCACAUGGGAGAGCCAGCACCAAUCUGGAUAUCAAAUAUUCAUGAAGCCACAUUCGCAUUUUUAGAUUAAAAAUAUAAAUACAUAAAUAAAAGCAUGGUGUUUUCUUCCUGUACCUCCAACAGACCAUCUUGCACACCCCAAUUUGGAGACCACUGACCUAACCGGAACCUCCACCCCAGGGGCCCACAUCUCUGAAAGCCAGCCUUCCUCUCUCAGGAAGGGGACCCAGCAGUUAGCCAGGCCCCUGAAAACCAGGCAGGCAGUCCCCUACAACAGGAUCAAUGCUGACAGCGCAGAAAAAUCAUGGCCCAGUGCAGAUUGCUACUGUGGCAUCUGCAAUUGCCAAGCUCCCCCAUACCCCGUCUUGUCAGGUUGGAGGGCACGCAGACUGAAGACUGUGCUGAGGACCUUGGGAAGAUGGGGAGGCCCCAUAGGGUUGGAGGACUCCCUUAGGGUCUCUGGUUCAAGCCGGGACUGCAUUCUUAGAGGGCAGCCAGAUUCCUGGGUUGAGCAUGGGGAAGCAGCGGCCCCUGGUGGCUCAGACACGUCCUGCCUCAGAACCUCAGCAUCCCUUCUGCUUUCAGGGUUUCUGCUUUCUUGCUAGGUUGAAAAAUAAUAGUGCUACAGUGUUAGAACUCUCCUGCAAAGUCCGGUAUAGCUUUUCAGCUUGAGGGUGGGCUGCAGUGGGAGAGAAGGACUGGGAACCACCCACCAUGAAAAAUAAAGCUUCGGUGGAGACAUUGUGAGGUCAGACGACAGACUCCUAAAGUUCCAGUCCCGGAUUGCCGUGGACUGUUCUCCCCUUUCCAGGCCCCAGCCUUUUCCUGCCUCUCGUCUCUUCCUGACACCCUGGUCCUGCCUUUCCUGGCUCUGUCCUCAAAACUCAAGAAGGAGAGAAACAAAGGAAGGGGCCAAUCCGUGGAAAAGGACUCUUCCAAAUUCAAGUCCUUUAAAAUUCCUUUGGGAGCGUUUAGAAGGCCUUCGUUAAAGUCAUCUGAAAGUGUUGUAAAAGCAAGAGAAAUGUCAGAGGCAGUGUUGAGAAACAUUUCCUUUAAGGCAGAAGGAAAAGACCACCAGAUGGAAGAUGUGAGAUAAAAACAAAAUGACACGAGGACAAAUCCAGAUGUCUGGAUGCAGGGGAACAGCAGAGGCGAGGGGAGAGGGAACCAUUGAGGAAGUGACCGGAGGACAUUUUCCUGAGGCAAAGAAAGACACGGGUCAUUGGGGAAAGAUCCCUUGAGGCCAAGAACAGGAAAAAGAAAUCCAGAUGGCCAAUAAACAGAAGAAACAAUGCCAAGCCAUACAUCCAGCUGAAGAAAUACACAUGAAAACACCAAUAUUUUCAUCUAGAUGGGCAAUACUUAGAAAGCUUGAACCUUUAUUAUCUGUAUAAUCUUUUAAAACAGAUUUGCUUUUCAUAGAUAGUAUUCACUAUAUGCUGGUAUAAACAUUUUUUUCCCUGGGUGGAUGGAUAACCAAUGAGCCAAUGUAGAUGGGUAGAGGGACCGACUGUAGGUGAGGACGAAGAAGAGUGAUACUUUUCAUGUUUCACCCUUUGCGUGAUAUUGUAUAAUUUUAUGCUUUAAAAAUGUUAAUUGGAAUAAAAUGUUAAUUGGGUGGUGACGUUAUUGCCAUCUUUGUUUUCCUCAUAAUACAUUUUGGUAUUAAAUCAAAUAAAUGGUCCUGACCGGUUUGGCUCAGUGGCUAGAGCGUUGGCCUGCGGACUGAAGGGUCCCAGGUUUGAUUCUGGUCAAGGGCAUGUACCUUGGUUGCACACACAUCCCCAGUAGGGAGUGUGCAGG
This is a long non-coding RNA of Myotis myotis, 4912 nucleotides long. RefSeq lists it as uncharacterized. The record is from RefSeq and is a predicted model, not a curated record. Lineage: Eukaryota; Metazoa; Chordata; Mammalia; Chiroptera; Vespertilionidae. The transcript has 6 exons.